Sander lucioperca (pikeperch) is the source of this 179-nucleotide long non-coding RNA. RefSeq lists it as uncharacterized. Lineage: Eukaryota; Metazoa; Chordata; Actinopteri; Perciformes; Percidae. The record is from RefSeq and is a predicted model, not a curated record. The transcript has 3 exons.
UCUACAUAAGAGGCAAACUACAUAGCACCAGAAGGAAAAAAUUGUAUAUUGAUAAAAUUCAGAAAUUGGAAGCCGAAUUGCGUGACAUGGAAAAAGAUUUGGCCAACCAUUAUUCUGAACGCUUAUUUAAAAACAUUUGCAAAUGUAAAUUUCAAAUUCAAGACAUUUUUAAUAAAAAA